Piliocolobus tephrosceles (Ugandan red Colobus) is the source of this 1023-nucleotide long non-coding RNA. The record is from Ensembl. NCBI's taxonomy places the organism in Eukaryota, Metazoa, Chordata, Mammalia, Primates, Cercopithecidae.
AUGAGCCAUAAGGUAGCAAUUUUUUUAUACAUUUGCAAAGUAGAAAGCAAAGUAAAAGUUAAAAAAGAUGUAAUGAAAAAAUUUAUAACGAAAAAAAAAAAGUUCAGUAAAAAUAUACUAGUAAAAUAUAUUUUAUAUAACAGUAAAUCGAAACAAGUAUUACUAAAAAAAAAGUGGAAUAUAAAUUAUAUUUUAAAUAAAACAAAAGAUAAAAAUAAUAAGAAAAAAAAAGAUUUUAGCACAUAUGAAUUAAAUAAAUAUUCUGACUCAUUCGAUGAAUUUACAAAUAAACAAAAUAUUUCAACAUCAGAUUAUAUUACUUCAUUGAAUGAAAGUGUGAUCAGCAACAAGGUAAUUAAAAAACACAGUGGAAUAACCAAUUCAAACUCGUAUAAAAUAUUACUAAAAAAAAUAGUGAACAAUGUUAUUCAAGGACAAAACACGACUAUAAUAAAUACUGGAAUAGAUACAGAAAAAAAUGAAAAGAAUGUGUUUUUAUAUGGUUACUUAUUCAAUAAAUUUUUAAACAAAGUUAGGAAAAAUAAAAAUAAAAAAAAAAAUUCAUUAAACCUUUUAAGAAAAGAACAAAAUAGUUCUAAACAAACCGAAGAAGAAACAACAUAUGAUGAAAAUAUAAAUAAAGAAUAUAAUGAAAGUUCAAAAGGGAGUUCAAGCGUCGAAUAUAAUAAAAAAAAAAUUUUAAAGGAAAACAAUUUUAAAAAGUGUUCUAAAAGGGGGUUAAUUUUAGAUUUAUAUGAUUAUAUAAGAAGAACAAAUAUCGGAGGUAAAAAUUUUAUAAGAAUGUGUAUAUGUUUGUGCAUUUGUAUAGUAUUAGUGGGAUAUAUAUAUAUAUAUAUAAACAAUUUACUUUUUAUAAACCUAUAGGGCAUUUUUUUCUUUUUAACUGCACUAAUUUAUGAUACUACAUAUUUGUCCACUAUAUCUCUUUUUUACUUAACGUUUUACUUACUCAACUGUUUAUUCAUUUAUUUAUUCAUUUGUUUAUUCAUUCGUUUAUUUAUU